AGUGAACGCUGGCGGUAGGCCUAACACAUGCAAGUCGAACGGCAGCACAGUAAGAGCUUGCUCUUACGGGUGGCGAGUGGCGGACGGGUGAGGAAUACAUCGGAAUCUACUUUUUCGUGGGGGAUAACGUAGGGAAACUUACGCUAAUACCGCAUACGACCUACGGGUGAAAGCAGGGGAUCUUCGGACCUUGCGCGAUUGAAUGAGCCGAUGUCGGAUUAGCUAGUUGGCGGGGUAAAGGCCCACCAAGGCGACGAUCCGUAGCUGGUCUGAGAGGAUGAUCAGCCACACUGGAAGUGAGACACGGUCCAGACUCCUACGGGAGGCAGCAGUGGGGAAUAUUGGACAAUGGGCGCAAGCCUGAUCCAGCGAUACCGCGUGGGUGAAGAAGGCCUUCGGGUUGUAAAGCCCUUUUGUUGGGAAAGAAAAGCAGCAGGUUAAUACCCCGCUGUUCUGACGGUACCCAAAGAAUAAGCACCGGCUAACUUCGUG
RNAcentral lists this ribosomal RNA (492 nucleotides) under uncultured bacterium. RNAcentral's name for it is "partial 16S ribosomal RNA". It matches the Rfam family "Bacterial small subunit ribosomal RNA", at positions 29 to 507 of the family's 1533-position model. The record is from RNAcentral.